Molecule: long non-coding RNA, 465 nt
Organism: Ornithodoros turicata
Lineage: Eukaryota; Metazoa; Arthropoda; Arachnida; Ixodida; Argasidae
Exons: 3
Source: RefSeq, a predicted model, not a curated record
CGUAGGGAGCUUCUAGUGGUGUACGCGCCUCAAUUCUGCCGCUAUGAUCAACAUUUUAGGCGACUCAAUCCCCAGGACCACAGGAGACCCCGGAACUAAGAAAGGAAUGCACAGGCUUUGAACUCCAAGGUUGGGAUAGUGUCUGUUCUUCUGUUCUGGCCAUUGUCUUCCCAACACUGUGGGAGAUUUGGCAGCUGCCUAAGGUUCACGGCAUACUCAUCAUUCACGAGAUGGGUCUGGGGAUACCUUGGUCCAAGGAACAGACGACAGGUUCCUGGAUGCGUUGUCCGAGCCAUCAGGAGGGAGUUCCCAUCUACGUCCUAUCAAGGCUAUCAGCGUUAGGACCAUCGAAGCAAGGGUGUCUUGACAAGAGAGACAAGCUGGUGCAUACUGAUGGCUGGAACUGGAGACAUGUAGUGGCAAGACAAAAAUUUUGCUGACAUAGGCACACUUUGUGUAAAUGAG